RNAcentral lists this ribosomal RNA (253 nucleotides) under uncultured bacterium. Its description in RNAcentral is "partial 16S ribosomal RNA". It matches the Rfam family "Bacterial small subunit ribosomal RNA", at positions 524 to 776 of the family's 1533-position model. The record is from RNAcentral.
GACAGAGGUCCCAAGCGUUAGGCGGAAUCACUGGGCUUAAAGCGUGUGUAGGCGGAUCCGUAAGUACCUUGUGAAAUCCCACGGCUCAACCGUGGAACUGCUGGGUAUACUGCGGGUCUUGAGCCACCUAGGGGCGAGCGGAACAAGUGGUGGAGCGGUGAAAUGCGUAGAUAUCACUUGGAACGCCAAUGGUGAAAACAGCUCGCUGGGGGUGUGCUGACGCUGAGGCACGAAAGCCAGGGGAGCAAACGGG